This is a small nuclear RNA of Cervus hanglu yarkandensis (Yarkand deer), 103 nucleotides long. The record is from Ensembl. Lineage: Eukaryota; Metazoa; Chordata; Mammalia; Artiodactyla; Cervidae.
GAAUUGUUAGAAUUAUCACAAAUCCAUCACCACCUUUCAGAGAAGAUUAGCAUGGCACCUGCGCAAGGAUGACACGCAAAUUCGUGAAGCAUUCCAUGUUUUU